This 497-nucleotide ribosomal RNA is filed under the name uncultured bacterium. Its description in RNAcentral is "partial 16S ribosomal RNA". It matches the Rfam family "Bacterial small subunit ribosomal RNA", at positions 28 to 507 of the family's 1533-position model. The record is from RNAcentral.
GAUGAACGCUGGCGGCGUGCCUAAUACAUGCAAGUCGAGCGAACAGACGAGGAGCUUGCUCCUCUGACGUUAGCGGCGGACGGGUGAGUAACACGUGGAUAACCUACCUAUAAGACUGGGAUAACUUCGGGAAACCGGAGCUAAUACCGGAUAAUAUAUUGAACCGCAUGGUUCAAUAGUGAAAGACGGUUUUGCUGUCACUUAUAGAUGGAUCCGCGCCGCAUUAGCUAGUUGGUAAGGUAACGGCUUACCAAGGCAACGAUGCGUAGCCGACCUGAGAGGGUGAUCGGCCACACUGGAACUGAGACACGGUCCAGACUCCUACGGGAGGCUGCAGUAGGGAAUCUUCCGCAAUGGGCGAAAGCCUGACGGAGCAACGCCGCGUGAGUGAUGAAGGUCUUCGGAUCGUAAAACUCUGUUAUUAGGGAAGAACAAAUGUGUAAGUAACUACGCACGUCUUGACGGUACCUAAUCAAAAAGCCACGGCUAACUACGUG